GACAGUUCAAGGAAGAAAGUGAUAAGACUCCAUGCAAGAAGCAUACAUACUGGCAAAUCACAAUUAUCCCACAUGCUGCUAAAGAAAUUAUGAAUGCACGUACACAAUACAUCACCCUCAUGGGGGAUAUUUCCAAACAGACUGAAAUUGUUAUUGGCAGAUUCCUUUACAAGAAACGUGCCAGGACAGAUAUUAAUAAUUAGUUACCAGACUCACCAUUUACCUCCUUCUUUAAGGAGAGACCUUCUUGGCAGCAGGUGUGCAGUACUGUAUAUUUAUGAAAUUCAGUUUGCAAGAUUCUAUGAUACUGAGCAAAAACAGUUUUCCAGAAGAUAUAGAGUUAUAGAUUUUACAACAGAGAAAAUUCUGAAC
Schistocerca serialis cubense is the source of this 372-nucleotide long non-coding RNA. RefSeq lists it as uncharacterized. The record is from RefSeq and is a predicted model, not a curated record. NCBI's taxonomy places the organism in Eukaryota, Metazoa, Arthropoda, Insecta, Orthoptera, Acrididae. The transcript has 3 exons.